Molecule: ribosomal RNA, 1372 nt
Filed under: uncultured bacterium
Lineage: Bacteria
Description: bacterial SSU rRNA
Rfam family: Bacterial small subunit ribosomal RNA
Source: RNAcentral
GAUGAACGCUGGCGGCGUGCCUAAUACAUGCAAGUCGAGCGAACGGACGAGAAGCUUGCUUCUCUGAUGUUAGCGGCGGACGGGUGAGUAACACGUGGAUAACCUACCUAUAAGACUGGGAUAACUUCGGGAAACCGGAGCUAAUACCGGAUAAUAUUUUGAACCGCAUGGUUCAAAAGUGAAAGACGGUCUUGCUGUCACUUAUAGAUGGAUCCGCGCUGCAUUAGCUAGUUGGUAAGGUAACGGCUUACCAAGGCAACGAUGCAUAGCCGACCUGAGAGGGUGAUCGGCCACACUGGAACUGAGACACGGUCCAGACUCCUACGGGAGGCAGCAGUAGGGAAUCUUCCGCAAUGGGCGAAAGCCUGACGGAGCAACGCCGCGUGAGUGAUGAAGGUCUUCGGAUCGUAAAACUCUGUUAUUAGGGAAGAACAUAUGUGUAAGUAACUGUGCACAUCUUGACGGUACCUAAUCAGAAAGCCACGGCUAACUACGUGCCAGCAGCCGCGGUAAUACGUAGGUGGCAAGCGUUAUCCGGAAUUAUUGGGCGUAAAGCGCGCGUAGGCGGUUUUUUAAGUCUGAUGUGAAAGCCCACGGCUUAACCGUGGAGGGUCAUUGGAAACUGGAAAACUUGAGUGCAGAAGAGGAAAGUGGAAUUCCAUGUGUAGCGGUGAAAUGCGCAGAGAUAUGGAGGAACACCAGUGGCGAAGGCGACUUUCUGGUCUGUAACUGACGCUGAUGUGCGAAAGCGUGGGGAUCAAACAGGAUUAGAUACCCUGGUAGUCCACGCCGUAAACGAUGAGUGCUAAGUGUUAGGGGGUUUCCGCCCCUUAGUGCUGCAGCUAACGCAUUAAGCACUCCGCCUGGGGAGUACGACCGCAAGGUUGAAACUCAAAGGAAUUGACGGGGACCCGCACAAGCGGUGGAGCAUGUGGUUUAAUUCGAAGCAACGCGAAGAACCUUACCAAAUCUUGACAUCCUUUGACAACUCUAGAGAUAGAGCCUUCCCCUUCGGGGGACAAAGUGACAGGUGGUGCAUGGUUGUCGUCAGCUCGUGUCGUGAGAUGUUGGGUUAAGUCCCGCAACGAGCGCAACCCUUAAGCUUAGUUGCCAUCAUUAAGUUGGGCACUCUAAGUUGACUGCCGGUGACAAACCGGAGGAAGGUGGGGAUGACGUCAAAUCAUCAUGCCCCUUAUGAUUUGGGCUACACACGUGCUACAAUGGACAAUACAAAGGGCAGCGAAACCGCGAGGUCAAGCAAAUCCCAUAAAGUUGUUCUCAGUUCGGAUUGUAGUCUGCAACUCGACUAUAUGAAGCUGGAAUCGCUAGUAAUCGUAGAUCAGCAUGCUACGGUGAAUACGUUCCCGGGUCU